Venturia canescens is the source of this 929-nucleotide long non-coding RNA. RefSeq lists it as uncharacterized. The transcript is spliced from 5 exons. Lineage: Eukaryota; Metazoa; Arthropoda; Insecta; Hymenoptera; Ichneumonidae. The record is from RefSeq and is a predicted model, not a curated record.
GACAGUUUCGAUAUUGAUAUAGAUAUAGAUAUAUUUUUUUUUUCUGGUGCCAUAACAUAAGUCUAUACUUAUAUAUAUAUCCGUGAUGAUAUCGACGUAUGGUGUGUUUAAUGAGUAGAUAAUAAAAGCAAGACAAUGUUUUAGUGAAAGUGGUGAAAAAAUGUAAAGAGAAAAAUGGAAAUAAAGGCGGAGGAAUCCAAGAGUGUUGUGUAUUAUAUUAUAUUAUAUAUUAUAAACUGAAAAUUGUCAACAAUGUUACAGGAAACUGCCAGCUAGUGUAUAAGACCGAGAUAUAAAGGCUCUUACGAUUUCGGAUUGAUGAUAGGAGUGACGAAGGAGAGCAAGGGCUACAAAAAUGUAGAAUAAAGAAGUAAAUGCAGUCUGGAAAAGGAUUUAGAGAAAAGCACAAUUCUAUCAACGGCUUAACACAUUAAUCGCUGCAAAGAAAAGAAGAGUGCGGGUGAGCACUUACAUGCUCCGGUGGCAAUGCUUUAAAAUCUUGUCAUCGUCAUGAUAUCUCCAGUGCAAAUGAAAUAUGGAAGAGGUCUGUCGCCGGCCCAUUAAUACUCAUUUGACAUUUUUGGGCACCGAUGGUUAUUUUACCUGAAGAAUUAUUCGCUCAUUGUUCAUUUUUUUAAGACUAUCGCAAUGAUCACAGUGGAAGUGGUGCACAAUUUCUUGAUAAACUCUUUUGACUUCAAUCGACAUGAAGCACUUUUCCACAACCACAGUUUGAGUACAUUUGCUUCGAAGAACAAUCAAUUGGUCAACACGGUUUUACAGAGUGUCGAGUAUCCCAUGGAUCAGUUCUGAAAGUUCAGAAGAAAAAUGUUUCUAGAUUGAUUGACGUAGAGAGGAUUUUGUCCGAGCUGUUUGGUCAUUUUUUCGUCUUUCUUCGCUCGUACUGCUCUUGCCAAGACACAACCCAC